This 1102-nucleotide small RNA is filed under the name Pan troglodytes (chimpanzee). Its description in RNAcentral is "retained intron". Lineage: Eukaryota; Metazoa; Chordata; Mammalia; Primates; Hominidae. The record is from RNAcentral.
CCCUGCCAUGAUUUGCACCUGAUAUUCAGGGAUCACUCUCAAAAUGUGAGCCAUAAAGAAGAAGGCUGUGUCGCUGGGAGUGAGAAUCUGCAGCAACAACAUAGAAAUAAGCCCCUGCCGGGCUCCCAGUGGUUUCUGAGAAAAAUGGGCUUCUCUUUCUACUGUACUUGGCAGCUGGAAAAGCUAUUGAGUCCUUUAGUCACUUCAAAGUAGCACUUUAGCCAUUGAGUGCUACUGUGCUGGGGUGGGUGGUGAAUGAGGCCCCACCCUUGGCCUCAGGGCAUUCUGGGUAAUUAUGGGAGGGGUGUGACAGAAGGUGCCAGGAGUGGGCAAGGAGCGGACUUCGUGGAGGGAAGUUGGUAAGUAAGUUUCACAGGAUGACAAGGGAGUCUGCAGCCCACUGAGGGCUCGAGGAUCAGCCAGGCCGUUAAAUGCCGUGUCUGCCUGGUAGCUCUGGGAACGGGCGAUUCAGGGAGCCUUACUCGUUGAGUAGAAAUCCAGCUCAAUACAUUGGUUUUGAUGUGUUCAUCUGUGAACCUGGGAGGCGCCUGCAUCUUCUUGGCCUUUUCUCCUGCUGACUCUUAACAGUGCACUGCCGUGUUUGAUCUUGUUUUUCAGAAAUUGCCCAGGUUAUUGCCUCAUACACCGCCACCGGCCCCGAGCAGCUCACUCUCGCCCCUGGUCAGCUGAUUUUGAUCCGAAAAAAGAACCCAGGUGGAUGGUGGGAAGGAGAGCUGCAAGCACGUGGGAAAAAGCGCCAGAUAGGCUGGUUCCCAGCUAAUUAUGUAAAGCUUCUAAGCCCUGGGACGAGCAAAAUCACUCCAACAGAGCCACCUAAGUCAACAGCAUUAGCGGCAGUGUGCCAGGUGAUUGGGAUGUACGACUACACCGCGCAGAAUGACGAUGAGCUGGCCUUCAACAAGGGCCAGAUCAUCAACGUCCUCAACAAGGAGGACCCUGACUGGUGGAAAGGAGAAGUCAAUGGACAAGUGGGGCUCUUCCCAUCCAAUUAUGUGAAGCUGACCACAGACAUGGACCCAAGCCAGCAAUGAAUCAUAUGUUGUCCAUCCCCCCCUCAGGCUUGAAAGUCCUCAAAGAGACC